Molecule: ribosomal RNA, 689 nt
Filed under: uncultured bacterium
Lineage: Bacteria
Description: bacterial SSU rRNA
Rfam family: Bacterial small subunit ribosomal RNA
Source: RNAcentral
UGCAAGUCGAACGCCCUCUUUCGGAGGGAGUGGCAGACGGGUGAGUAACACGCGGGAAUCUACCUAUCGGUAAGGAACAACACAUAGAAACGUGUGCUAAUACCUUAUACGUCCUCAGGGAGAAAGAUUUAUCGCCGAUAGAUGAGCCCGCGUUUGAUUAGCUAGUUGGUGAGGUAAUGGCUCACCAAGGCGACGAUCAAUAGCUGGUCUGAGAGGAUGAUCAGCCACACUGGGACUGAGACACGGCCCAGACUCCUACGGGAGGCAGCAGUGGGGAAUAUUGGACAAUGGGCGCAAGCCUGAUCCAGCCAUGCCGCGUGUGUGAUGAAGGCCCUAGGGUUGUAAAGCACUUUCAACGGUGAAGAUAAUGACGGUAACCGUAGAAGAAGCUCCGGCUAACUUCGUGCCAGCAGCCGCGGUAAUACGGAGGGAGCUAGCGUUGUUCGGAAUUACUGGGCGUAAAGCGCACGUAGGCGGAUUAUUAAGUCAGGGGUGAAAUCCCGGGGCUCAACCCCGGAACUGCCCUUGAUACUGGUAAUCUAGAGAUCGAGAGAGGUGAGUGGAAUUCCGAGUGUAGAGGUGAAAUUCGUAGAUAUUCGGAGGAACACCAGUGGCGAAGGCGGCUCACUGGCUCGAUACUGACGCUGAGGUGCGAAAGCGUGGGGGAGCAAACAGGAUUAGAUACCCUG